CAGUCAUGCUAGUGAGGAAUCAACUUGAUGGUUUGUGGGUUCGCUCGCAUACUUUCCGGUGCACUUCCUCACUCGGCAGGUUAGCAUCAAUUUCGGUUAUCAUAAAAAAUUUAAGGGAAUGUGGCUUCUCUUCGGUGGAGUGUUAUAGACCCUGGUGGAUGUGGCGAUUGGGAUUGAGGAUUGCAGCGGAUGCCCUCUUGGCUAGUCACCUGGCUUCUGGCGUCACCUCGCUUUUGACAGCUUGCUGAUGAUUGU
This 255-nucleotide ribosomal RNA is filed under the name Acaulospora cavernata. Lineage: Eukaryota; Fungi; Glomeromycota; Glomeromycetes; Diversisporales; Acaulosporaceae. The record is from RNAcentral.